Molecule: non-coding RNA, 148 nt
Filed under: Papio anubis (olive baboon)
Lineage: Eukaryota; Metazoa; Chordata; Mammalia; Primates; Cercopithecidae
Source: Rfam by way of RNAcentral
GCUGGGCAUGGUGGCCUGCACCUGUAGUCCCAGCUACUUGGGAGGCUGAGAGAGGAGGAUUGCUUGAGCCCAGGAGUUUGAGGCUGUAGUGAGCUAUGAUCAUGCCACUGCACUCCAGCCUGGGUGACAGAGCAAGUUCCUGUCUCUA